AUGGAGGGAGUACAUACAUAUAGCAGCGAUUUUGUGAGGUUAAUUGUUACUAUAUGGGCCAUCUGGGGAGCACGAAGAAAGGCAAUUCAUGAGGGCAUAUUCAAAUCACCUAGUGCUACAGAUGGUUUCAUUAAUAGCUACCUGGCAGAUCUUCAGGUUGUGAAAGGCAUAGCAAAGAGACCAACAACGGUGGUGCAAGCAAGACCAACACAAUGGCAAGCACCAAGUGAGGGGUGUGCAAAGGUGAAUGUAAAUGCAGCGGUGUUUGGUCGGGCAAGAUUCGGAGCAGUGGCUGCGGUGUGCAGAAGCUCUGACGGUACGUUCCAGGGAGCGUCUACGAUGUUUUACAAGCACAUUGUUGAUCCCCAGACACUCGAGGCCCUGGCCAUCAGGGAGGCUUUAGCUUUGUCAGAUGAUUUAUAUCAGAGGAGAAUACAUGUUGCAUCUGAUAUAAUCACUUUGUCAAAUCAUUCUUUUUUUAAUCACUUUCCCUUUCUUCCUGUGCUUAGGGAACGGCUCUAUUUUGCACUGCUCUUAAAAUUGAUGAAAUUACUUUACUUAAUUCUUCACUCCAAAUGUACUUUACUUAAUUCUUUCACUCCAAAUGUACUCCCUCUGUAA
RNAcentral lists this ribosomal RNA (621 nucleotides) under Triticum aestivum (bread wheat). RNAcentral's name for it is "partial small subunit ribosomal RNA". The record is from RNAcentral. Lineage: Eukaryota; Viridiplantae; Streptophyta; Magnoliopsida; Poales; Poaceae.